This 301-nucleotide ribosomal RNA is filed under the name uncultured bacterium. RNAcentral's name for it is "partial 16S ribosomal RNA". It matches the Rfam family "Bacterial small subunit ribosomal RNA", at positions 509 to 807 of the family's 1533-position model. The record is from RNAcentral.
CAGUCGCCGCGGUAAUACGGAGGAUCCAAGCGUUAUCCGGAAUCAUUGGGUUUAAAGGGUCCGUAGGCGGUCUUGUAAGUCAGUGGUGAAAGCCCAUCGCUCAACGGUGGACCGGCCAUUGAUACUGCAGGACUUGAAUUAUUGGGAAGUAACUAGAAUAUGUAGUGUAGCGGUGAAAUGCUUAGAGAUUACAUGGAAUACCAAUUGCGAAGGCAGGUUACUACCAAUUGAUUGACGCUGAUGGACGAAAGCGUGGGUAGCGAACAGGAUUAGAUACCCGAGUAGUCCCUGUCUCUUAUAC